RNAcentral lists this ribosomal RNA (418 nucleotides) under uncultured bacterium. Its description in RNAcentral is "bacterial SSU rRNA". It matches the Rfam family "Bacterial small subunit ribosomal RNA", at positions 917 to 1338 of the family's 1533-position model. The record is from RNAcentral.
GGGCCCGCACAAGCGGUGGAGCAUGUGGUUUAAUUCGAUGAUACGCGAGGAACCUUACCAGGGCUUAAAUGUAGUCUGACAGGGGUGGAAACACCCCCUCCUUCGGGCAGAUUACAAGGUGCUGCAUGGUUGUCGUCAGCUCGUGCCGUGAGGUGUCAGGUUAAGUCCUAUAACGAGCGCAACCCCUGCCGUUAGUUGCCAGCAUGUAAUGAUGGGAACUCUAACGGGACUGCCGGUGCAAACCGCGAGGAAGGUGGGGAUGACGUCAAAUCAUCACGGCCCUUACGUCCUGGGCUACACACGUGCUACAAUGGCCGGUACAGAGGGCAGCCACACCGCAAGGUGGAGCGAAUCCUUAAAACCGAUCUCAGUUCGGAUUGGAGUCUGCAACUCGACUCCAUGAAGUUGGAAUCGCUAG